This 253-nucleotide ribosomal RNA is filed under the name uncultured bacterium. Its description in RNAcentral is "partial 16S ribosomal RNA". It matches the Rfam family "Bacterial small subunit ribosomal RNA", at positions 524 to 776 of the family's 1533-position model. The record is from RNAcentral.
UACGAAGGGGGCUAGCGUUGUUCGGAUUUACUGGGCGUAAAGCGCGCGUAGGCGGAUCGUUAAGUCGGGGGUGAAAUCCUGGAGCUCAACUCCAGAACUGCCUUCGAUACUGGCGAUCUCGAGUCCGGAAGAGGUGAGUGGAACUCCUAGUGUAGAGGUGGAAUUCGUAGAUAUUAGGAAGAACACCAGUGGCGAAGGCAGCCUCCUGGGCCAACACUGACGCUCAUGCACGAAAGCGUGGGGAGCAAACAGG